This 465-nucleotide long non-coding RNA is filed under the name Homo sapiens (human). RNAcentral's name for it is "non-protein coding lnc-ZBTB41-5:1". The record is from RNAcentral. Lineage: Eukaryota; Metazoa; Chordata; Mammalia; Primates; Hominidae.
GGAACCCGAGGUCAUAUCAACAAUGGGUGCAUACAGUCAAGAAAGGAGGUGCACUGUUCAACACAGCAAUGACCAAAGCAACCCCUGCUGUACGGACAGCAUAUAAAUUUGUAAGUUUUUUUGAUAUUUAACAAUCCUAUUUAUGAAAUUAUAAAACAUUUUCCUAGGUGAUAGACAUAUAAAUUCUGAAUAUUUUCUAUUUUUCUUUUAAAUAAACCUAAAAAAAAAUUAGGAUUAAUAUUGACCAAAGCAAAUUCAAUUGUUAAAAUUAUAACAUUGCAUGCAGAGGGUAGUUUCUUUUAUAUAAUCUAAAAAUGGUUCUCAUUUUAUUCCAAAGCUAUCGGCAAAGUUGUGCAGCAAAUUGAAACAGUUAUUGAUGGGGUACCAUUUUGUAAAAUGUCAUUAUUUCAUUUAACAACAUUUUACAUUCUUGCUGUGUACUUGCGGCUCAAGUAGAAAAAAAAA